Molecule: long non-coding RNA, 520 nt
Organism: Nicotiana attenuata
Lineage: Eukaryota; Viridiplantae; Streptophyta; Magnoliopsida; Solanales; Solanaceae
Exons: 3
Source: RefSeq, a predicted model, not a curated record
UCCAUAUUUCACAUGUAAUUAAAACUCCAUCCCAAUAUGGAAUUUGAAAUUUUAUCAAUAUGUCAUAUUUCAAAAGUACAAUUAUUGUUCCUUUGUUGAUGUUUGGACCAAGAUUUUAAAGUCCUUUCCCUACUUUUAUAUAUCGUCAGCUUAUAUAGCUUCCACAUGCAUCCACAGAAUAUGGAAGACAAGCGACGGUGUUCCAGUAACUUUAACACGAAAUUCAGAUGAGAAUAUUGAGCUCUGCAGGUUCGGUACAAAACCGUUUUUGUUCACUGCUAUUCAGAAAGGGGAAGCAAAGAUGCCGAUGUCUGUGUUUACUGUUAUUGAAGUGAAAAAAAUGGAGAUCUCCUCUUUGCACAGGAGAGUGCACUUGGGUACUAAUAUUACUUCUUUGGAGUUUUUAUUAAGAUUGUUAUAUUGAGCGAGGAUGAAGCUCUUGCAAGAGCUUCAAUGGUGAUUCUAGAAUAUUCCAAAGAGAGAGAAAUAUCUGGGAGGAGAGCAGAUGAAAUGAAAAUGU